CCUACGGGUGGCAGCAGUGAGGAAUAUUGGUCAAUGGGCUUACGCCUGAACCAGCCAAGUCGCGUGAGGGAAGACUGUCCUAUGGGUUGUAAACUUCUUUUGUCAGGGAGCAAUUGGCGCUACGUGUAGCGUUAUCGAGAUUCUCUGCACAAAAAGCAUCGGCUAAUUCCGUGCCAGCAGCGCCGGUAAUCCGGGGGAUGCGGGCGUUAUCCGGAUUUAUUGGGUUUAAGGGUUGCGCAGGCGGAAGAUCAAGUCAGCGGUAAAAUUGAGAGGCUCAACCUCUUCGAGCCGUUGAAACUGGUUGUCGUGAGUGAGGGAGAGGUAUGCGGAAUGCGUGGUGUAGCGGUGAAAUGCAUAGAUAUCACGCAGAACUCCGAUUGCGAAGGCAGCAUACCGGCGGUCAACUGACGCUCAGGCACGAAAGUGUGGGUAUCGAACAGGAUUAGAUACCCGAGUAGUC
This 460-nucleotide ribosomal RNA is filed under the name uncultured bacterium. RNAcentral describes it as "partial 16S ribosomal RNA". It matches the Rfam family "Bacterial small subunit ribosomal RNA", at positions 338 to 795 of the family's 1533-position model. The record is from RNAcentral.